UACGGAGGGGGCUAGCGUUGUUCGGAAUUACUGGGCGUAAAGCGCGCGUAGGCGGACCAGAAAGUUGGGGGUGAAAUCCCGGGGCUCAACCUCGGAACUGCCUUCAAAACUCCUGGUCUGGAGUUCGAGAGAGGUGAGUGGAAUUCCGAGUGUAGAGGUGAAAUUCGUAGAUAUUCGGAGGAACACCAGUGGCGAAGGCGGCUCACUGGCUCGAUACUGACGCUGAGGUGCGAAAGCGUGGGGAGCAAACAGG
RNAcentral lists this ribosomal RNA (253 nucleotides) under uncultured bacterium. Its description in RNAcentral is "partial 16S ribosomal RNA". It matches the Rfam family "Bacterial small subunit ribosomal RNA", at positions 524 to 776 of the family's 1533-position model. The record is from RNAcentral.